AAUCUUGCACAAUGGGGGCAACCCUGAUGCAGCGACGCCGCGUGAGCGAUGAAGCCCUUCGGGGCGUAAAGCUCUUUCGACCGGAACGAUAAUGACGGUACCGGGAGAAGAAGCUGCGGCUAACUACGUGCCAGCAGCCGCGGUAAUACGUAGGCAGCAAGCGUUGUUCGGAGUUACUGGGCGUAAAGAGUGCGUAGGCGGUUUUCUAAGUUCGGUGUGAAAUCUCCCGGCUUAACUGGGAGGGUGCGCCGAAGACUGGGAAGCUGGAGUGUGGGAAAGGCAGGCGGAAUUCCUGGUGUAGCGGUGAAAUGCGCAGAUAUCAGGAGGAACACCUGCGAUGUAGACGGCUUGCUAGACCAUAACUGACGCUGAGGCACGAAAGCGUGGGUAGCAAACA
RNAcentral lists this ribosomal RNA (397 nucleotides) under uncultured bacterium. RNAcentral's name for it is "bacterial SSU rRNA". It matches the Rfam family "Bacterial small subunit ribosomal RNA", at positions 360 to 774 of the family's 1533-position model. The record is from RNAcentral.